CCGGGUUCCCGCAGUCCGCUUUCCCAUGAACCCUCACUGCGUCGCGAGAAUGCGGCAGUCAUAAUUUCAUCUACAGCCUCAAGUACAACCCUGAUGUCACUAUUACAACUCAAAAUGUAAUUAAAGAUCUAUAAUGAGCAAUUUGUGUAAUCUGGUCACCCAAGGAAAGCGUUAAAAACAGCUCGCCCCACUCACACACCACCUACGCCUUUGUUUGGCGUCUUGUUUUUUGCUGAAAAACCUCCUUCCUGCGAGCCUUUGAGAAGUUUAAUCACCUCUCCUUCUUUCUCUCUCUCUCUCUCCCUCUCCCUCCUUCUCUCUCUCCCCCUCUCCCGCCUUCUCUCGCUCUCCCUUCUCUCUCCCCACCGCUGUGCCGCGGAGUCGUGUUGGCGUGACGGGGUGGAAAAGGUCACUCCUGUUUCUUCGUUUUCGGGGCAAGUGGAGCGAGGGAAGAGGAGGAGCGAGGAGGAGGGCAGAAGCAGGUAGAGGCCUCUCUGCACUCGUCCGCUGUUCUGUCGGUUCUGUGGACCGAGCGCUAAUGGGGCGUCACGCUGAGCUGGCGCAGAGCACGCCUGCUGCUGCUGCUGUACAUUAUGGGAAACACACCUUCACACACACACACACACACACACACACAGAGAGAGAGAGAAGGCCGAUCGAUGCAGUAAGAGAUGCGGAAUUGCGCGCGUGUGUGUGCGUGUGUGAGAGGAAAAAACAGAGCCAACAGCAACACAAAGACAAAUUUGAUAUUUUUUUUAUGAUCCACUCGACACAAUUACACCACAGGAGCAUUUUCUCCAUUCUCAUGAUGUGUGUGUGUGUGUGUGUGUGACCCCAGUGCACGAUGUGUGAUGAAAUAUCAAAUCUCCACAAAGAUAUACACACGGUGUAAGACAAGAACAAUACAACAAAUUACACAACACACACACACACACACACACACACACACACACACACGCUCCAGAAGCGAAGAUGUACUCAUGGGAAAUAUUCGAUAGUCGUUUACUACUCAGGUGGCCGAUCAAUUCUCAAAAUAAUUAUGACAGACAAGUUAAUCUGCAGGAUUUCUACAAUCUCAACGGUACUCUUUCACUUCCUGUGGUUCCUGCUUCUCUACACAGACUCCGCCCACUAAAAAAAACUCGUGUAAUAUUCCUUUUCAGCCAGUUUUGUGAUAGCUCCGCCCAUCGGAACCUUUACACUUUCCCCGUUAACCCUUCGCCUAACCGAACCCUAGGUGAAAUAAAUUCCAUUCUAAUUUGGAGAUAUCGUUUCAGAUUGUCAGCCUCCUCAGCCAAUCAGAUUCGCCUCGUAUCUGGCCUCCAUUUACGCAAGCGCGCGUUUUACAUACGGGACGUCUGAGUCGGGGAGAUUAAAAAAAUAAAGUCAGAACUCGGCAAUUAAUCAUCGUUUGGUUGGAUAUAGUGAUACGGUGGGGUAGACAAAGAGCAUAUGGAGAGUGAGACCGUCAGAGUGAGGCAAAGAGUGAGACAGAGUGAAACAGAUACAGUGAGGUAGACAAAGAGCACACAGAGAGUGAGACAGUCAGAGUGAGACGGGAAAAAGUGAAACAGGUACAGUGAGGUAGACGAAGAGCACACAGAGAGUGAGACAGUCAGAGUGAGACAGUCAGAGUGAGACAGGAAAAAGUGAAACAGGUACAGUGAGGUAGACGAAGAGCACACAGAGAGUGAGACAGUCAGUGUGAGACAGUCAGAGUGAGACAGGAAAAAGUGAAACAGGUACAGUGAGGUAGACGAAGAGCACACAGAGAGUCACAUAUGGACCGGUUUCACUGAUCGACACGGACGUAUUUCAUGAAUCUGCUCUGUAUUCAUCGUGUUUCUCAGGUCUAAGACCGUGAAGAUCGGACUUGCGUUCUCGUGAAGUCUGUGAAGAACCGGUCUUGCCCGGCUACCUUGGAAGAACGACCUUCACGCAUCUUUGCGAGAACUGAGAUGUGCUGCGCGCUUCCUGCUGCGCGGUGCACCGUCCCAGCACAUCUCUCGUAGAGGGACAGGACCGUCGUCUCUUCAUUGCUGCCGGAGUAAUAUGUUUCAGCCGCUUAACAGAUUCGCUCUUACACGGCUGAUUAACCGGAAGUUAAUUAAGACCAGUUUAAUGUAGUAAGCUCGCUGCGACCUCACGUUAACUAAAAACGAAGCUGAGGAGUUUCCCGUCUCCUCAGGGUGGACGCUAGCGUUGAUUAAUUCAAAUAUUUCGGAGAGAUAGAUUCCACUUUUCAACCAGCUCAUAUAUAUCUCAAUCUAAAUCUUAUCUCACAUGCGUUCUUUUACGAUGCAUCUUUGGAUUAUUGUCUGUAAAGAGACGUUAAAAGUGUCAUGUGACCGCCGCUUUCGUCACGGGGCAGGCUUCAGAGAGAGAGAGAGAGAGAGAGAGAGAGAGAGAGAGAGAGAGACGGAGGGUUCGAUAUAGUGAGGUAGACAAAGAGCAUCUAGAGAGUGAGACAGAAAAAGCGUGAGCUGGAUAGUGAGACAUAGAAAGAGAGUAAGGCAAAGAGUGAGACAGACAAAGAAUGAGACAGAAUGUGAGACAGACAAAGAAUGAGACAGAGAGUGAGACAGACAAAGAGCAUCUAGAGAGUGAGACAGAAAAAGAAUGAGCUGGAUAGUGAGACAUAGAAAGAGAGUAAGGCAAAGAGUGAGACAGACAAAGAAUGAGACAGAAUGUGAGACAGACAAAGAAUGAGACAGAGAGUGAGACAGACAAAGAGCAUCCAGAGAGUGAGACAGAAAAAGAAUGAGCUGGAUAGUGAGACAUAGAAAGAGAGUAAGGCAAAGAGUGAGACAGACAAAGAAUGAGACAGAGAGUGAGACAGACAAAAGAGCAUAUAGAGAGUGAGACGGAUAGUAAGACAGAGAGAGUGAGACAAAGACUGAGAGAGAAAAAAGUGAAACAUAUAGUGAGGUAGACAAAGAGCGUAUAGAGGGCGAGACAGAAAAACAGUGAGCUGGAUAAUAGACAGAGACAGAGAGACAGAGAGUGAGACAGACAAAGCACAUAGAGAGUGAGACGGAUAGAGAGAGAGAUGCAAAGAGUGAGAUAGGGAGUGAGACAGGCAAAGAAUGAGACUAAGUAUGAGGCAGAAAAGGAGCAAGAUAGAGUGAGGCAAAGAGUGAGACAGGUAUAUAUAUAGAGACAGAUGCAAAGAGUGAGACAGGGAGUGAGACGAAGUGUGAGGUAGAAAAAGAGUGAGACAAAGAAUGUGAGAGAGUGAGGUACAGCGUGAGGCACAAAAAAAAGAGAGCGGCAGAGAGUGAGACCAAAAGAGUGCAGUAGAGUGAGGCAGAAAGAGUGAGACAGAGAGCGAGACAGAAAAAAACCCUCUUUCUCUCAUCCUCGCUAACUAGCGUUUAACUGAGCAGCUAGCGUAUCAUUUACCUCCUGCCUGCUCACACGGAUGCACGUGUGCAGGUGUUUCACACGCCACACACUCAAUCUAAUCCAUUACACGACAAGAUAAACAACUUUAAACCUUCAACGGAAACAAGACCUCAGCUACGCUAAGCUAGCUGUCUUCAUCCGUGUCUGAGAGAAACUGAAGAAGACGCGCUUUUGGCUAAUGUGAGCGAGUGGUGCGGUGGAGUGUAAUCUAACGCAACGCCUCAUAAUCCGGUCAUCGGGGUUCAAAUCUAGACGACGCCUCUGUGUUGCUUCCACGCAUUUCCUUCACACCUCCAUUUACCUUCCUAAGGUUGAAGAAAAGCAUGUUGCGAGCACAUAAUCUAGUUGUGUUAGUCUAAAAAUUACCGGGCUAAUUUAAGAGCCAUUACAGCAAUAUACUAUAAUCUACUCCACUUUUACAGCCAUUAUGGAUCCAGUGUCUUAUUUCUAAACCGGUGUCUAUGAGCUUCCCUCGCUCGUUAGCCUGUACACGCCAGUCUAAAGACGUGAGAGCAAACAUCUGGCAUCGAGCUUGUACCUGUUCUUAAAUAUCAGACGAGUGGAUUAUGUUACACACGCUGCGUUAAAGUUAAGUCGAUUCAAUUUCCUGUCUAGUCCAGCCUUCAUCGUCAUUACUGUCCUCGUCGUCAUCAUCAUCAGCGUUAUCGUCAGAGAGAGAGAGAGACAGACAGAGAGAGACAGACAGAG
Ictalurus punctatus (channel catfish) is the source of this 4113-nucleotide long non-coding RNA. Lineage: Eukaryota; Metazoa; Chordata; Actinopteri; Siluriformes; Ictaluridae. The record is from Ensembl.